ACGAUUAUGAAUCGGUUGCUUCCUGUGCUGGCUUUUGCAAGUGCACGGAGGUGACUUUCAUUAUCCACCCCCUUCUUGUGAGCCUUUGGCCUCUGCUGGCUUUGGUCAGCAGAGGAUUUUUACACAAACUCGAAUGUAAUGAGAAAUACUGUGGUGCGCAAGCACUAAUGUA
RNAcentral lists this unclassified non-coding RNA (172 nucleotides) under uncultured Tremellodendron. Its description in RNAcentral is "sequence contains ITS1". The record is from RNAcentral. Lineage: Eukaryota; Fungi; Basidiomycota; Agaricomycetes; Sebacinales; Sebacinaceae.